RNAcentral lists this long non-coding RNA (552 nucleotides) under Takifugu rubripes (torafugu). RNAcentral's name for it is "lncRNA (ENSTRUG00000030011.1)". Lineage: Eukaryota; Metazoa; Chordata; Actinopteri; Tetraodontiformes; Tetraodontidae. The record is from RNAcentral.
ACAGAAUGUCUGCAAACGCGCUCUGACUUCCCAGCAUCCUUGGUAACAUGUAUUGGUAUCAUGAAGGGAACUGCAGGUCCAAAUGUCUCCAGGAAGAAAAACAUCUCUGACUGGUAGUUCCCAACAUGCUUUGCUGCUUCUUCAUUCAAUUCUUAAUCUCUAAUUUUAUUGUGUUUUGACUGCUUUUAGAGGUGUUUAGUGUUGGAUAAACACGGAUCCGGACUAUAGGAUGAGAUGGCUUCUCCUCUGGUUGGACAGAGUAAGAGGAGAAUAAAUCCAUUACUCUCAAACAAAAGCUGAGGUCAUAGCUGCUUCUGAAAUCCAUCAUGAUGGUGCUGCUGAAGUACAGGGAAGGAAAUGGCGGUGGAGGAAGGGGAAGGAGAGGGCAGGAGGUGCGUUGAUGAUCACCAUUGAGCUGGACACAACUAGAAGCACCAGACUGACCCAGGAGGGAAGGAGGAGCAGGGUGAAAUAGCCCAGCAGACACAUAGGCACAGGGUCAGGGAGAGGGAGCUGGAGUCUAUCCCAGCUGCACCCUAUGUCAGCAAUUGG